This 253-nucleotide ribosomal RNA is filed under the name uncultured bacterium. Its description in RNAcentral is "partial 16S ribosomal RNA". It matches the Rfam family "Bacterial small subunit ribosomal RNA", at positions 524 to 776 of the family's 1533-position model. The record is from RNAcentral.
UACGUAGGGGGCAAGCGUUGUCCGGAAUCAUUGGGCGUAAAGCGCGUGUAGGCGGUUCGAUAAGUCUGCUGUGAAAGUCCAGGGCUCAACCCUGGAAAGCCGGUGGAUACUGUCGGACUAGAGUGCGGAAGAGGCGAGUGGAAUUCCCGGUGUAGCGGUGAAAUGCGCAGAUAUCGGGAGGAACACCAAUUGCGAAGGCAGCUCGCUGGGACGUUACUGACGCUGAGACGCGAAAGCGUGAGGAGCAAACAGG